Molecule: ribosomal RNA, 831 nt
Filed under: Escherichia coli
Lineage: Bacteria; Pseudomonadati; Pseudomonadota; Gammaproteobacteria; Enterobacterales; Enterobacteriaceae
Description: partial 23S ribosomal RNA
Rfam family: Bacterial large subunit ribosomal RNA
Source: RNAcentral
UACAGGGUGACAGCCCCGUACACAAAAAUGCACAUACUGUGAGCUCGAUGAGUAGGGCGGGACACGUGGUAUCCUGUCUGAAUAUGGGGGGACCAUCCUCCAAGGCUAAAUACUCCUGACUGACCGAUAGUGAACCAGUACCGUGAGGGAAAGGCGAAAAGAACCCCGGCGAGGGGAGUGAAAAAGAACCUGAAACCGUGUACGUACAAGCAGUGGGAGCACAGAGCAAUCUGUGUGACUGCGUACCUUUUGUAUAAUGGGUCAGCGACUUAUAUUCUGUAGCAAGGUUAACCGAAUAGGGGAGCCGAAGGGAAACCGAGUCUUAACUGGGCGUUAAGUUGCAGGGUAUAGACCCGAAACCCGGUGAUCUAGCCAUGGGCAGGUUGAAGGUUGGGUAACACUAACUGGAGGACCGAACCGACUAAUGUUGAAAAAUUAGCGGAUGACUUGUGGCUGGGGGUGAAAGGCCAAUCAAACCGGGAGAUAGCUGGUUCUCCCCGAAAGCUAUUUAGGUAGCGCCUCGUGAAUUCAUCUCCGGGGGUAGAGCACUGUUUCGGCAAGGGGGUCAUCCCGACUUACCAACCCGAUGCAAACUGCGAAUACCGGAGAAUGUUAUCACGGGAGACACACGGCGGGUGCUAACGUCCGUCGUGAAGAGGGAAACAACCCAGACCGCCAGCUAAGGUCCCAAAGUCAUGGUUAAGUGGGAAACGAUGUGGGAAGGCCCAGACAGCCAGGAUGUUGGCUUAGAAGCAGCCAUCAUUUAAAGAAAGCGUAAUAGCUCACUGGUCGAGUCGGCCUGCGCGGAAGAUGUAACGGGGCUAAACCAUG